Molecule: ribosomal RNA, 409 nt
Filed under: Verrucomicrobiota bacterium
Lineage: Bacteria; Pseudomonadati; Verrucomicrobiota
Description: Verrucomicrobia bacterium partial 16S ribosomal RNA
Rfam family: Bacterial small subunit ribosomal RNA
Source: RNAcentral
UGGGGAAUAUUGCACAAUGGGCGGAAGCCUGAUGCAGCGACGCCGCGUGAGGGAUGACGGCCUUCGGGUUGUAAACCUCUUUCAGUAGGGACGAAGCGUAAGUGACGGUACCUGCAGAAGAAGCACCGGCUAACUACGUGCCAGCAGCCGCGGUAAUACGUAGGGUGCGAGCGUUGCCCGGAAUUACUGGGCGUAAAGAGCUCGUAGGCGGUUUGUCACGUCGUCUGUGAAAUCCUAGGGCUUAACCCUGGACGUGCAGGCGAUACGGGCUGACUUGAGUACUACAGGGGAGACUGGAAUUUCUGGUGUAGCGGUGGAAUGCACAGAUAUCAGGAAGAACACCGAUGGCGAAGGCAGGUCUCUGGGUAGUAACUGACGCUGAGGAGCGAAAGCAUGGGUAGCGAACAGG